This 491-nucleotide ribosomal RNA is filed under the name uncultured bacterium. RNAcentral describes it as "partial 16S ribosomal RNA". It matches the Rfam family "Bacterial small subunit ribosomal RNA", at positions 29 to 506 of the family's 1533-position model. The record is from RNAcentral.
AGUGAACGCUGGCGGUAGGCCUAACACAUGCAAGUCGAACGGCAGCACAGUAAGAGCUUGCUCUUACGGGUGGCGAGUGGCGGACGGGUGAGGAAUACAUCGGAAUCUACUUUUUCGUGGGGGAUAACGUAGGGAAACUUACGCUAAUACCGCAUACGACCUACGGGUGAAAGCAGGGGAUCUUCGGACCUUGCGCGAUUGAAUGAGCCGAUGUCGGAUUAGCUAGUUGGCGGGGUAAAGGCCCACCAAGGCGACGAUCCGUAGCUGGUCUGAGAGGAUGAUCAGGCACGCUGGAAGGGAGACACGGUCCAGACUCCUACGGGAGGCAGCAGUGGGGAAUAUUGGACAAUGGGCGCAAGCCUGAUCCAGCCAUACCGCGUGGGUGAAGAAGGCCUUCGGGUUGUAAAGCCCUUUUGUUGGGAAAGAAAAGCAGCAGGUUAAUACCCCGCUGUUCUGACGGUACCCAAAGAAUAAGCACCGGCUAACUUCGU